Molecule: ribosomal RNA, 494 nt
Filed under: Pseudomonas sp. H69A
Lineage: Bacteria; Pseudomonadati; Pseudomonadota; Gammaproteobacteria; Pseudomonadales; Pseudomonadaceae
Description: bacterial SSU rRNA
Rfam family: Bacterial small subunit ribosomal RNA
Source: RNAcentral
AUGCAGUCGAGCGGAGCACGGGAGCUUGCUCCUUGAUUCGACGACGGACGGAUGAGUGAUGCCUACGAUCUGCCUGGUAGAGGGGGACAACGUUUCGGAGGAACGCUAGUACCGAAUACGUCCUACCGGAGAAAGAAAGGGACCUUCGGGCCUUGCUCUAUCAUGAGACCCUAUGUCAGAUUAUCUAUUUGGUGGGGUAAUGGCUCACCAGGGCGACGAUCCAUAUCUGGUCUGAGAGGAUGAUCACUCACACUGGAACUGACACACGGUCCACACUCCUACGGGAGGCAGCAGUGGGGAAUAUUGGACAGUGGGCGAAAGCCUGAUCCCCCCGUGCCGCGUGUGUGAAAAACGUCCUCGGAGUGUAAAGCACUUUACGUUGAGAAGAACGGAUUUAAUCUAAUACGUUAGUGUUUUGACGUUACCGACAGAAUACGCACCGGCUAACUCUGUGCCAGCCCCCGCGGUAAUACAGAGGGUGCAAGCGUUAAUCG